GAUGAACGCUGGCGGCGUGCCUAAUACAUGCAAGUCGAGCGUACAGACGAGGAGCUUGCUCCUCUGACGUUAGCGGCGGACGGGUGAGUAACACGUGGAUAACCUACCUAUAAGACUGGGAUAACUUCGGGAAACCGGAGCUAAUACCGGAUAAUAUAUUGAACCGCAUGGUUCAAUAGUGAAAGACGGUUUUGCUGUCACUUAUAGAUGGAUCCGCGCCGCAUUAGCUAGUUGGUAAGGUAACGGCUUACCAAGGCAACGAUGCGUAGCCGACCUGAGAGGGGGAUCGGCCACACUGGAACUGAGACACGGUCCAGACUCCUACGGGAGGCAGCAGUAGGGAAUCUUCCGCAAUGGGCGAAAGCCUGACGGAGCAACGCCGCGUGAGUGAUGAAGGUCUUCGGAUCGUAAAACUCUGUUAUUAGGGAAGAACAAAUGUGUAAGUAACUAUGCACGUCUUGACGGUACCUAAUCAGAAAGCCACGGCUAACUACGUG
RNAcentral lists this ribosomal RNA (497 nucleotides) under uncultured bacterium. RNAcentral describes it as "partial 16S ribosomal RNA". It matches the Rfam family "Bacterial small subunit ribosomal RNA", at positions 28 to 507 of the family's 1533-position model. The record is from RNAcentral.